UACGUAGGGAGCAAGCGUUGUCCGGAAUCAUUGGGCGUAAAGCGCGCGUAAGUGGCUUCGUAAGUCCGUUGUGAAAGUCAAAGGCUCAACCUUUGAAAGCCGAUGGAUACUGUGAAGCUAGAGUACGGAAGAGGCGAGUGGAAUUCCUGGUGUAGCGGUGGAAUGCGCAGAUAUCAGGAGGAACACCAAUAGCGAAGGCAGCUCGCUGGGACGUUACUGACACUGAGGCGCGAAAGCGUGGGGAGCGAACAGG
RNAcentral lists this ribosomal RNA (253 nucleotides) under uncultured bacterium. RNAcentral's name for it is "partial 16S ribosomal RNA". It matches the Rfam family "Bacterial small subunit ribosomal RNA", at positions 524 to 776 of the family's 1533-position model. The record is from RNAcentral.